GACGAACGCUGGCGGCGUGCUUAACACAUGCAAGUCGAACGGAAAGGCCCUGCUUUUGUGGGGUGCUCGAGUGGCGAACGGGUGAGUAACACGUGAGUAACCUGCCCUUGACUUGGGGAUAACUUCAGGAAACUGGGGCUAAUACCGGAUAGGAGCUCCUGCUGCCUGGUGGGGGUUGGAAAGUUUCGGCGGUUGGGGAUGGACUCGCGGCUUAUCAGCUUGUUGGUGGGGUAGUGGCUUACCAAGGCUUUGACGGGUAGCCGGCCUGAGAGGGUGACCGGCCACAUUGGGACUGAGAUACGGCCCAGACUCCUACGGGAGGCAGCAGUGGGGAAUAUUGCACAAUGGGCGGAAGCCUGAUGCAGCAACGCCGCGUGCGGGAUGACGGCCUUCGGGUUGUAAACCGCUUUCGCCUGUGACGAAGCGUGAGUGACGGUAAUGGGUAAAGAAGCACCGGCUAACUACGUG
RNAcentral lists this ribosomal RNA (468 nucleotides) under uncultured bacterium. Its description in RNAcentral is "partial 16S ribosomal RNA". It matches the Rfam family "Bacterial small subunit ribosomal RNA", at positions 28 to 507 of the family's 1533-position model. The record is from RNAcentral.